AAACUUUUCCAAAACAAAAAUAGAAAAAAAAACAAAUAAUUAUUCCUUAUCAAAUCUCAAUUAAGCACUCGUCCAUUUUUUCAACUAUAAAUAGGAGAAGAAGUUAUGAGAAGGGGGACACAAUUUGAAAAAAAAAGAGUUCCAGUAAAGAGAAUAAAAAACUGCAGCAACAUCACAACUAUUGAGUCCCUAAAAAAAUAAAAUAAGUUAAAGGAGGAGCCGAGAAAUAAGAAAGUCAAGAAGCAAAGAUCUGCAGAAACACAUUCACCGCAUCACCGGAAAACCGUA
Molecule: long non-coding RNA, 288 nt
Filed under: Lathyrus oleraceus (garden pea)
Lineage: Eukaryota; Viridiplantae; Streptophyta; Magnoliopsida; Fabales; Fabaceae
Description: Pisum sativum (pea) long non-coding RNA (PSAT_LNC029126)
Source: RNAcentral